CUGAGACUGGCACUAAAGACCUAAGGCUUUACAGGUGGAGCUAACAUCAUGCACUUUUGUGUUGCCAAGGUUAGGUCGGUGUGAAAGGCAUUCAUAUAAGUGGGUGACAAGGAUUAAAGGAACAGUUCAGCGCCAUAACCACUACACCCUAGGAGUGCCCUCACAGGGUUAAUAGUCCAAUGCCCUACCAGGGUAAGUAGUCAAACCAUUUGAGAAUGUUUUCACAAUAUACUUGGG
Pelobates cultripes (western spadefoot toad) is the source of this 237-nucleotide non-coding RNA. The record is from the annotation of a GenBank genome assembly. Lineage: Eukaryota; Metazoa; Chordata; Amphibia; Anura; Pelobatidae.